CAGCCGCCGCGGUAAUACGUAGGGUGCAAGCGUUAAUCGGAAUUACUGGGCGUAAAGCGUGCGCAGGCGGUUAUGCAAGACAGAUGUGAAAUCCCCGGGCUCAACCUGGGAACUGCAUUUGUGACUGCAUGACUAGAGUACGGCAGAGGGGGAUGGAAUUCCGCGUGUAGCAGUGAGAUGCGUAUAUAUGCGGAGGGACACCGAUGGCGAAGGCAAUCCCCUGGGCCUGUACUGACGCUCAUCCACGAAAGCGUGGGGAGCAAACAGGAUUAGAUACCCCCGUAGUCCCUGUCUCUUAUAC
Molecule: ribosomal RNA, 301 nt
Filed under: uncultured bacterium
Lineage: Bacteria
Description: partial 16S ribosomal RNA
Rfam family: Bacterial small subunit ribosomal RNA
Source: RNAcentral